GCCCGUUGAUCCUGCGGGAGGCCGCUGCUAUUGGGAUUCGAAUAAGCCAUGCAAGUCAGAUCAGCAAUGAUCGGCAGAAUGCGUAAUAACACGUCGAUAAUCUGCCCUUUGAUUGAGGAUAACCUUGGGAAACUGAGGAUAAUACUUAAUGAGAAAAAGUUACUGGAAGGUGCUUCUUCUAAAACGUAAGGUCAAAGGAUGAGACGGCGUCCGAUUAGGCUGUUGGUGGGGUAACGGCCCACCAAACCAAUGAUCGGUAGGGGCAAUGAAAGUUGUCGCCCCACGAAGGACACUGAGGAACUGGUCCUAGCCCUACGGGGUGCAGCAGGCUCGAAGUCUUUGCAAUAUGCGAAAGCGUGACAGGGGAAUCCCAAGUGCUCAUACCUAGUAUGGGCUUUUGCCAAGUGUAAAUAGCUUGGAGAAUAAGUGGUGGGCAAGACCGGUGCCAGCCGCCGCGGUAACACCGGCGCCACAAGUGGGGGCCGCGUAUUUGGCCUAAAGCGUCCGUAGCCGGCUUUGUACAUUUCUUGUGAAAUUGGUAUGCUCAACAUACCAGCGUGCAGGAAAGACGGCAGAGCUAGGAACUGGGAGAGGUCAGAAGUAUUUUGUGGGGAGCGGUUAAAUGCUAUAAUCCACAGAGGACUACCUAUGGCGAAGGCAUCUGACUAGAACAGAUUCGACGGUGAGGGACGAAAGCCGAGGGAGCAAAACGGAUUAGAUACCCGUGUAGUCUCGGCUGUAAACACUGCGAGCUAGGUAUUGCAGAAUCUUCGUGAUUUUGCAGAAUCGUAGCGAAGGGGUUAAGCUCGCCGCCUGGGAAGUAUAGUCGCAAGGCCGAAACUUAAAGGAAUUGGCGGGGGAGAACCCCAAGGGGUGCGGCGUGCGGUUUAAUGGAACUCAACGCCGGAAAUCUCACCAGAGCCGACGGCAGGAUGAAGGUCAGGUUAAAGACUUUACCUAACGAGCCGAGAGGUGGUGCAUGGCCGUCGUCAGCUCGUGUUGUAAGAUGUCCAGUUAAGUCUGGUAACGAGCGAGACCUGUAUCCAUAAUUGCCAGCGGGAAAGAAAUUUCGACCGGGCACAUUAUGGAGACUGCCUUCGCAAGAAGGAGGAAGGCGCAGGCUACGGUAGGUCUGUAUGCCCCGAAUGCUCUGGGCUACACGCGCGCAACGAUGGUUGGGACAAUGGGAUGCAACACCGUAAGGUGAAGCUAAUCCUCAAAACCCAAUCCUAGUCCAGAUUGAGGGUUGUAACUCACCCUCAUGACGUCGGAAUCCCUAGUAAUCAGAAGUUAUCAUCUUCUGGUGAAUAUGUCCCUGCUCCUUGCACACACCGCCCGUCAACCCAACCGAGCAGGGUCUGAAUGAUGUCCAGUUUUCUUGAUUGUACUGAAUUCGGGCUCAGUAAGGUGGGUUAAGUCGUCACAAGGUAUCCGUAGGGGAACCUGCGGAUG
Molecule: ribosomal RNA, 1452 nt
Filed under: groundwater metagenome
Description: bacterial SSU rRNA
Rfam family: Archaeal small subunit ribosomal RNA
Source: RNAcentral